AGCGCACACCAGGCCUCGUUGCAUUACCGUUUCACGUGUGCACGACGCCGAGUGAGAUAGAGGGAGGAGUGCAAGUCUGUAAACGUGUCAGCUAUGUCUGUUGCACGAUCGUCGUCGUCGACACUCGAUUUGCAAGUAAUUGCGUCGGCAUUACGCUCGAUGCACUCGAACCACCCUCGAUACGCGCGUUCCAUUGUCAAGGGCGUUUGAAGUUGCACAAUUGAGGGAAUCAUGAGUUGUGGACCAUCUGAUGAAAAGAGGGGGCGAUUUAACUCUUUGCGGUCGUAUGUCAACUCUCAGCUGUCAAAUGUAGUUCAACCCAUUGUGGUCGUAUGUCGUUGUUGUUCGUCGUUUAUGUUUUAAGUGCAUGUGCAGGUAUGCACAUAUUGCACUCCUCCUUUCCAUUAUAUGGACCGUUUAUUUUGAAAGUGAUGUAAGUCCAUUUUCUCUUGUUUCGAGAAAAUUAGAGGUUAGCACUUUAUUUACCGGGAGCCUAUUUAUAGGCUUUUUAAUUGCAGUAUUUAGCUAUUCGAAUUCAUUUACUGUAUCGAUGGUUGUCUACUUACAAUGUUCAGUGUUUGGUAACAGAUUUGGCUUUCAAUGUACCUAGUAACAGUAUGAAGGAAUUAUUGUCAGCCUAGAUUGGUAUAUGCUAGUAUAGAAAUUCUUUUUUGAAUUAAAGUCUGUUUCUAAAUAGCACGGUAGAUAAAGUGUUAAGACUAAUAUGAAUCAAAACUAAUAUGAAUGCUCUGUAUUAUUAUAAGCAAAAGAUCGUGUUAAAUUAUUAACCCUGAGUCUUUGAUCCUAAACCCGACAUUGUUGUUGAUUCAGAUAACAUGAAUUGUGAUACAUGAAGUGUUGUAAUUAUUUAUGUAAGUGUUGUUAAUAUAAUGUUCCAGUAUUGUUUUACUACAUCAACACAAG
Long non-coding RNA from Hylaeus anthracinus, 924 nucleotides. RefSeq lists it as uncharacterized. NCBI's taxonomy places the organism in Eukaryota, Metazoa, Arthropoda, Insecta, Hymenoptera, Colletidae. The transcript is spliced from 3 exons. The record is from RefSeq and is a predicted model, not a curated record.